RNAcentral lists this ribosomal RNA (429 nucleotides) under Chloroflexota bacterium. Its description in RNAcentral is "Chloroflexi bacterium partial 16S ribosomal RNA". It matches the Rfam family "Bacterial small subunit ribosomal RNA", at positions 355 to 776 of the family's 1533-position model. Lineage: Bacteria; Bacillati; Chloroflexota. The record is from RNAcentral.
UGGGGAAUAUUGCACAAUGGGCGCAAGCCUGAUGCAGCCAUGCCGCGUGUAUGAAGAAGGCCUUCGGGUUGUAAAGUACUUUCAGCGGGGAGGAAGGCGAUAAGGUUAAUAACCUCAUCGAUUGACGUUACCCGCAGAAGAAGCACCGGCUAACUCCGUGCCAGCAGCCGCGGUAAUACGGAGGGUGCAAGCGUUAAUCGGAAUUACUGGGCGUAAAGCGCACGCAGGCGGUCUGUCAAGUCGGAUGUGAAAUCCCCGGGCUCAACCGAGGAAGUGCAUCCGAAACUGGCAGGCUGGAGUCUUGGAGAGGGGGGUAGAAUUCCAGGUGUAGAGAUGAAAUGCGUAGAGAUCUGGAGGAAUACCAGUGGCGAAGGCGGCCCCCUGGACGAAGACUGACGCUCAGGUGCGAAAGCGUGGGGAGCAAACAGG